This 208-nucleotide long non-coding RNA is filed under the name Brassica napus (rape). RNAcentral describes it as "long non-coding RNA (BNAP_LNC003495)". The record is from RNAcentral. Lineage: Eukaryota; Viridiplantae; Streptophyta; Magnoliopsida; Brassicales; Brassicaceae.
GUUUUAGAGUUGAGGGGUGGGGUAUGGUUUUGGAAUGUGAAAUUUAGGAUUCUAAUAAAUAUAUAAACAAAUACUUAAAUUUUUUUUAAAGAAAUUUAAAUAAUAGCUUCAAACAUAAUUUUCAUCUUUCAAAAAAAAAUUUGAAAAAAAAAAUUCAAAAAAAAAGAUUUCAAAAAAAUAACUUUAUAAAAAAGUUCGAUUUUGAAAA